RNAcentral lists this ribosomal RNA (896 nucleotides) under Semisulcospira libertina. Its description in RNAcentral is "partial 16S ribosomal RNA". It matches the Rfam family "Bacterial large subunit ribosomal RNA", at positions 832 to 2570 of the family's 2925-position model. The record is from RNAcentral. Lineage: Eukaryota; Metazoa; Mollusca; Gastropoda; Semisulcospiridae.
AUCGCACUAACGAUAGCUAGUUUCCCUGGAAAGAUAUAAAAGUGUCGGGAAAAGAUAUAAUCUAUGAUACUAAUUAUUAUAUAUUACAUGUACUUUUCACUAAUUUUUUUGAGGAUAAGCUCAAAAAAAAGUUAAGAAUUUUAUAAUUAAAUUUGCUAUGUAGGCUUAAAAUUAGCCACUAUAAAAGUUUUUUGUAAAAUAGUAACCUUAGUUUUGCAGAAUAAGUAUAAUUUAAACUAACUUUUUACAGGGACAAAAACUUUAAUUUAAAUAAGUUUUAUGCCUAUGCUAGAAUGAGUAUUAAAACUUGAUUAUGAAAGAUCUAUCUUUAUGUCUUCCUAAAAAAAAUUAAAAAAAGUUAAUUAAUUAGAAGGAACUCGGCAAAUUUAGUUGUUUCGCCUGUUUAUCAAAAACAUGGCUCUUUGGUUAUACGAAUAUAAAGAGUCGGACCUGCCCGGUGAAAACUUUUAACGGCCGCGGUACUUUGACCGUGCAAAGGUAGCAUAAUCAUUUGCCUUAUAAUUAAAGGCUAGUAUGAACGGUUUGACGAAAACAACACUGUCUCCUUUUUAUUUUCAAGAAUUUAACUUUUAGGUGAAGAGGCCUAAAUUCCAUUGAAGGACAAGAAGACCCUGUCGAGCUUAAAAGACAUCGUAGAAUUAUAUAUAUAUAUAUUUAAAUAAAUUUUCUAUUAAGCUUUUUAGUUGGGGCGACUGAGGAACAAAAAAAGCUUCUUAAAAAGAACAGACAAUCAUGUUUAGAUCCGGUAAAACUGAUCAAAGAAAUUAGUUACCGCAGGGAUAACAGCAUAAUCUCUCUUGAGAGGCCUAAUCGAAAGAGGGGGUUGUGACCUCGAUGUUGGACUAGAAUAUCCUAAAGAUGCAGAAGCUUUGAGG